Molecule: ribosomal RNA, 465 nt
Filed under: uncultured bacterium
Lineage: Bacteria
Description: partial 16S ribosomal RNA
Rfam family: Bacterial small subunit ribosomal RNA
Source: RNAcentral
AAUGAACGUUGGCGGCGUGGAUUAGGCAUGCAAGUCGAGCGAGAACCCCGCAAGGGGGGACAGCGGCGAAAGGGACAGUAAUGUGUAGAUUAUCUGCCCUCAGGUCCGGGAUAGCUGCGGGAAACUGCAGGUAAUACCGGAUAACAUCUCCGGAUCAAAGGUGUGAUUCCGCCUGAGGAUGAGUCUGCAUCCUAUUAGCUAGUUGGUGGGGUAAUGGCCUACCAAGGCAUUGAUGGGUAGCAGGUGUGAGAGCACGACCUGCGUCAUUGGGACUGAGACACUGACCAGACACCUACGGGUGGCUGCAGUCGAGAAUCUGCGGCAAUGGGCGCAAGCCUGACCGAGCGACGCCGCGUGUGGGAUGAAGGCCUUCGGGUUGUAAACCACUGUCAGAGGGGAUGAAAUGCAGGUGGGUUCUCCCAUCUGUUUGACAUAGCCUCAGAGGAAGGACGGGCUAAGUUCGUG